This 557-nucleotide ribosomal RNA is filed under the name uncultured bacterium. RNAcentral's name for it is "bacterial SSU rRNA". It matches the Rfam family "Bacterial small subunit ribosomal RNA", at positions 82 to 638 of the family's 1533-position model. The record is from RNAcentral.
CUGUGGUGGAUUAGUGGCGAACGGGCGAGUAACACGUGAGUAACCUGUCCUUUUCUUUGGGAUAACGGCUGGAAACGGCUGCUAAUACUGGAUAUUCAGGCUGCAUCGCAUGGUGUGGUUUGGAAAGGUUUUUUCUGGAAUGGGGUGGGCUCGCGGCCUAUCAGCUUGUUGGUGGGGUGAUGGCUUACCAAGGCUUUGACGGGUAGCCGGCCUGAGAGGGUGGUCGGUCGCACUGGGACUGAGAUACGGCCCAGACUCCUACGGGAGGCAGCAGUGGGGAAUAUUGCACAAUGGACGGAAGUUUGAUGCAGCGACGCCGCGUGGAGGGUGUAGGCCUUCGGGUUGUGAACUCCUUUUUCUCGUGAAAAAGGCAUGCUUUUGGGUGUGUUGAUGGUAGCGGGGGAAGAAGCGCCGGCUAACUACGUGCCAGCAGCCGCGGUAAUACGUAGGGCGCGAGCGUUGUCCGGAUUUAUUGGGCGUAAAGAGCUCGUAAGUNNNNCGUCGCGUCUGUCGUGAAAGCCAGCAGCUUAACUGUUGGUCUGCGGUGGGUACGGGCG